UACGUAGGGGGCAAGCGUUGUCCGGAUUUAUUGGGCGUAAAGAGCGUGUAGGCGGCUAUACAGGUCCGCUGUGAAAACUCGAGGCUCAACCUCGAGACGUCGGUGGAAACCGUAUGGCUAGAGUCCGGAAGAGGAGAGUGGAAUUCCUAGUGUAGCGGUGAAAUGCGUAGAGAUUAGGAAGAACACCAGUGGCGAAGGCGACUUACUGGACUGUAACUGACGCUGAGGCAUGAAAGCGUGGGGAGCAAACAGG
RNAcentral lists this ribosomal RNA (253 nucleotides) under uncultured bacterium. Its description in RNAcentral is "partial 16S ribosomal RNA". It matches the Rfam family "Bacterial small subunit ribosomal RNA", at positions 524 to 776 of the family's 1533-position model. The record is from RNAcentral.